This 831-nucleotide ribosomal RNA is filed under the name uncultured bacterium. RNAcentral describes it as "bacterial SSU rRNA". It matches the Rfam family "Bacterial small subunit ribosomal RNA", at positions 21 to 889 of the family's 1533-position model. The record is from RNAcentral.
GGCUCAGAGCGAACGCUAGCGGGUGGCUUAACACAUGCAAGUCGAGCGGAGGCUUCGGCCUCAGCGGCGGACGGGUGAGUAACACGUAGGUAUCUGCCUUUUGGUGGGGCAUAGCCGGGGGAAACCCCGAUUAAUACCGCAUAUGGCCUAUGGGUCAAAGCCUUCGGGCGCCAGAAGAUGAGCCUGCGGCCGAUUAUUUAUUCCUAGUUGGUGGGGUAACGGCCUACCAAGGGUACGAUCGGUAGCUGGUCUGAGAGGACGAUCAGCCACACUGGAACUGAGACACGGUCCAGACUCCUACGGGAGGCAGCAGUGGGGAAUAUUGCGCAAUGGGCGAAAGCCUGACGCAGCCAACCCGCGUGGGUGAUGAAGGCCUUCGGGUCGUAAAGCCCUGUCGUGAGGGAAGAAACCUGACGGUACCUCACAAGAAAGCACCGGCUAACCCCGUGCCAGCAGCCGCGGUAAUACGGGGGGUGCAAGCGUUGCUCGGAAUCACUGGGCGUAAAGCGUCCGCAGGCGGCUUGGUAAGUCGGGUGUGAAAGCCCGGGGCUCAACCCCGGAACUGCAUUCGAAACUGCCUCGCUUGAGUACGGGAGAGGGUCGUGGAAUUCCUGGUGUAGAGGUGAAAUUCGUAGAUAUCAGGAGGAACACCGGUGGCGAAAGCGGCGACCUGGCCCGAUACUGACGCUCAUGGACGAAAGCGUGGGGAGCAAACAGGAUUAGAUACCCUGGUAGUCCACGCCGUAAACGAUGGAUGCUAGCUGGUGGGUCUUCUACCGACUCGUCGGCGUCGCUAACGCAUUGAGCAUCCCGCCUGGGGAGUACGGCCGC